CCUACGGGAGGCAGCAGUGGGGAAUCUUGCGCAAUGGGCGAAAGCCUGACGCAGCCAUGCCGCGUGAAUGAUGAAGGUCUUAGGAUUGUAAAAUUCUUUCAGUAGGGACGAUAAUGACGGUACCUACAGAAGAAGCCCCGGCUAACUUCGUGCCAGCAGCCGCGGUAAUACGAAGGGGGCUAGCGUUGCUCGGAAUUACUGGGCGUAAAGGGAGCGUAGGCGGGUUAUCAAGUUGGAGGUGAAAGCCCAGGGCUCAACCUUGGAAUUGCCUUCAAAACUGAUAGCCUAGAGUAUGAUAGAGGUAAGUGGAACUCCGAGUGUAGAGGUGAAAUUCGUAGAUAUUCGGAAGAAUACCAGUGGCGAAGGCGACUUACUGGAUCAUGACUGACGCUGAGGCUCGAAAGCGUGGGGAGCAAACAGGAUUAGAUACCCUGGUAGUCCACGCUGUAAACGAUGAUUGCUAGUUGUCGGACGGCAUGCCGUUCGGUGACGCAGCUAACGCAUUAAGCAAUCCGCCUGGGGAGUACGGUCGCAAGAUUAAACUUAAGGAAUUGACGG
RNAcentral lists this ribosomal RNA (558 nucleotides) under uncultured bacterium. RNAcentral's name for it is "bacterial SSU rRNA". It matches the Rfam family "Bacterial small subunit ribosomal RNA", at positions 338 to 916 of the family's 1533-position model. The record is from RNAcentral.